Lolium perenne is the source of this 770-nucleotide long non-coding RNA. RefSeq lists it as uncharacterized. Lineage: Eukaryota; Viridiplantae; Streptophyta; Magnoliopsida; Poales; Poaceae. The record is from RefSeq and is a predicted model, not a curated record.
CGGUCUUUCUCCUCUCUCCUCCCGCACAUCCAAGAAAAAGAAUCCCCCACGAUUGAUUUCUCGCCGCGCCGUGGAAGCGCCCCCCGCUCGAUGACUCCACCGUUACGCGCGCGGCGCCGCCGAUGCCGCCUUCCCCGUUUCCCCGCGUCUCCUGCCCCAUCUCCAUUCGCGCCGCGUCCCCAUCUGCCAUGGUCAGCUGGAAACCGCCGGUUAGCUUGCUCUAUGGCAACUGCCAAUGCAGAUUGUGGUGUUGCCGAUCGUGGUGCUCGUGCUGGUUAGCUCCUCUUCCAAUGCAAAAGGUACAUGCCUUCCGAUUGUACUACUGCCGCACGUCCAUUGACUCAUUUCCUCUCAUCUUUAACCUGCCUCAAGUCCGGCACCACAAGUCCGGCACCAGUGCCCACGGACCAGACCAUUGCGUGCUACCUUCUUGCCGCCCCCGGUCUUCACGACGGCGUCGGCGUAUACGUGUUGCUGCAUAACACGCACGAUGCCUACAAGUGCAACUUCUCCGCGCUGGUGGCUAAAUCGGAGAUAUCAGGCCUGUAAAACCAGAUGCGAGCACCAAGACCACAUGCGUCCAAAGGUUCUAACGUGUUGCUUUGUGUGCUCAUAGGAUGGAUCGGCCUGUUCAUGUGUUGUGUGUACUUUUCAUGUUGCAACUUGCAAGCCUGCAAUACUUUUGUUUAUUCAAGGCCGACAGUUCCUAUAAAUAUUACGUUUUAUUCAAAAAGGCUUCCUACUAGAAGAAGAAGCAAAUUGAACUUGUA